Molecule: ribosomal RNA, 398 nt
Filed under: uncultured bacterium
Lineage: Bacteria
Description: bacterial SSU rRNA
Rfam family: Bacterial small subunit ribosomal RNA
Source: RNAcentral
ACGGCCAGAGAUGGUCGCCCCCUUGUGGUCGGUGUACAGGUGGUGCAUGGUUGUCGUCAGCUCGUGUCGUGAGAUGUUGGGUUAAGUCCCGCAACGAGCGCAACCCUUAUUGUCAGUUGCCAGCAUUUAGUUGGGCACUCUGGCGAGACUGCCGGUGACAAACCGGAGGAAGGUGGGGAUGACGUCAAAUCAUCAUGCCCCUUAUGACCUGGGCUACACACGUGCUACAAUGGACGGUACAACGAGUCGCGAAACCGCGAGGUCAAGCUAAUCUCUUAAAGCCGUUCUCAGUUCGGAUUGUAGGCUGCAACUCGCCUACAUGAAGUUGGAAUCGCUAGUAAUCGUGGAUCAGCAUGCCACGGUGAAUACGUUCCCGGGUCUUGUACACACCGGAAUCG